ACUAAUGUUGAAAAAUUAGCGGAUGACCUGUGGCUGGGGGUGAAAGGCCAAUCAAACCGGGAGAUAGCUGGUUCUCCCCGAAAGCUAUUUAGGUAGCGCCUCGUGAAUUCAUCUCCGGGGGUAGAGCACUGUUUCGGCUAGGGGGCCAUCCCGGCUUACCAACCCGAUGCAAACUGCGAAUACCGGAGAAUGUUAUCACGGGAGACACACGGCGGGUGCUAACGUCCGUCGUGAAGAGGGAAACAACCCAGACCGCCAGCUAAGGUCCCAAAGUCAUGGUUAAG
Molecule: ribosomal RNA, 284 nt
Filed under: Salmonella enterica subsp. enterica serovar Ruiru
Lineage: Bacteria; Pseudomonadati; Pseudomonadota; Gammaproteobacteria; Enterobacterales; Enterobacteriaceae
Description: partial 23S ribosomal RNA
Rfam family: Bacterial large subunit ribosomal RNA
Source: RNAcentral